RNAcentral lists this ribosomal RNA (1514 nucleotides) under Triticum aestivum (bread wheat). RNAcentral's name for it is "partial small subunit ribosomal RNA". Lineage: Eukaryota; Viridiplantae; Streptophyta; Magnoliopsida; Poales; Poaceae. The record is from RNAcentral.
GUGAGUGGUGCUUCCGGGAUUCCAUUGCAAGACAACGAUUCUGGCAGCUGUCUCUUGCGGGGCGACGCGUGUUGCCUAGCCCCACGCACCGCUGUUCCAAUUCCAACCUUAUCUUCUCAGCGACUCAUCCUCGUCUCUUCCCAUGUCUUUUCUUCUCCCCAGCCCUGAUUCCCUUCCUCUUUUCUCUCCCCUUCCGCAGGCUCUCGAUCCAGAUCGGAUAUAGAGGCCACCACCGAGCCUCCUCGAGCGCCUUCUUCCUUCCUCCCACCGGAGCUCUAGCAUCUCCCUGCAACAUCCUCCUUUCUCCUUCUUCCUCUCUUCCUCCCAUGCCUUUCACUUCUUUCUUUUUCCAUUGGCCAUGCAGGGAGCACGCGCAGGGAGCCUCGCCGUUGCUGCCACCACCCGGACAUCGUCGCGCCACCGCCACCUCCGAGUUAACAGGCCGCCGCCGCUCGUCCUCCCAUGCGACCGGCACUGGGCCGCACUGCGCGCGGGCAAACCGGCCCCUGCCGGUGGAAGUGUGGGUACCGCGAGGGGAAGCAUCCGGUGCAACACGACGGUGACUGAGAUGUUGCUCGGGCUAUACGUGACGGCGACCGAGACUCCUUCGCGUUCGUUCCUUAUUAUCCAAUCUGCAUCUCAGCUUUCUUCCUCACUGAAGAUGUUUCAUGGGAAUCAUGCUGAUUAUUUUGUAUUCGGAUUUCCUCAUGGAAGAAUAAGAUGCUGCUGAUUGUAACCUCCUAUAAUUGGAGAAUUUAUUUAUUCAUUUGCUCCCUCACUUGCGGGAUUAUUUUCUUUGUUCUGUUCCCACCCUCUGCUUCGCAGGUGCCUGCAGUAGCGCGUCCAUCAUCUCCUCGGCGCGACGCCUGGCCGCACCAGCUCCACGCCAAUCACCUGGGCGUCCACUCCUCCGCACCAGCUCCAUGCCAAUCACCUCGGCCGUCCACUCCUCGCACACAACCGACGGCACCAACCGCGGCAGGUCCGGCGUGCCGCCGUCGCCAUCCCGCAGCGACAUGUGCGUCAGGGAGCGGUAGCCGCCGGCGCCCGCAAUACGUCCUCAACCCACGGCGGUCGUCCUUGCCAUCCGAGGCGCGUGCUGCUGCUCUGCUGGACGGCGACCAACCUCUGGCCGUUCCCCUCUGCACUCCACCUCAUUCAGCAGCGCCGCAUUGGUCCGUUGAAGCCGAGGGCAGGGGAGAUGGAUAGAGUAAAGGGAGCCGGCUGCGGCUGGCUCCUAGGCUCGAGCGGCGCGGAUGCCCGCCGCGACGCAUCCCCUUCGUUGGCUUCUGUGGCGUGAACGUCGUAGGCAAGUGGCGGCGCGUGCCCGGCGGUGGAGGCAGGCACUGGAUUAGUGGCGGUGGUGGCAGGGGGUUUUCUGCAAAAAGAAAAAACGAAACGUUAUCCAUCAGUAGCAUACUUUAAGUAGGAGUGCGGAUUAAUUUCUCAGAAACUGGGGGACUUUUUUGCAAAAAGGCCGAUGACGGACGACCAGAAACCUAAUUUGCUUUAUU